This 253-nucleotide ribosomal RNA is filed under the name uncultured bacterium. RNAcentral's name for it is "partial 16S ribosomal RNA". It matches the Rfam family "Bacterial small subunit ribosomal RNA", at positions 524 to 776 of the family's 1533-position model. The record is from RNAcentral.
UACAGAGGUGGCAAGCGUUGUUCGGAAUUACUGGGCGUAAAGGGCGCGUAGGCGGUCUUCUAAGUCUUGUGUGAAAUCCCUCGGCUUAACUGAGGAACUGCACGGGAUACUGGAUGACUUGAGUUCGGGAGAGGGAAGCGGAAUUCCGGGUGUAGCGGUGAAAUGCGUAGAUAUCCGGAGGAACACCGGUGGCGAAGGCGGCUUGCUGGGCCUUACCUGACGCUGAGGAGCGAAAGCGUGGGGAGCGAACAGG